Molecule: long non-coding RNA, 529 nt
Organism: Urocitellus parryii (Arctic ground squirrel)
Lineage: Eukaryota; Metazoa; Chordata; Mammalia; Rodentia; Sciuridae
Source: Ensembl
CAGCAACUAAAAUUAAUUGGUGCUGUCACAUGAAAGUCAGAUUGCUGCGUUUAUUUUGGUCCCAAUUGCAUCACGAUGACCAUCCGGCAGCAUUUAUCUAAAUCUGGUUGAGGCUUACAUGGUUUCUCCUGAGAUAUCUUCCUCAUCUGUUUGUGGCUGUGUAUAACUCAAUCUCCUGCCUUUUUGUUUUCUUUCUGCCCAAAUGAAGAAUGAGCGUACCAGCAUUUCCUCAGGACACACCUGUGCACCAUGGCGGAGGAGCCCAUCUUGAGGAAGGCAGGUUUUGCACACAGGUGGUGAUUGGGAGGCCUCAACAGGCUCCUGACCAACCAAAUAAAGGUGGCUUUUCUGCAUUCCUGUAGAGAUCGUGUACACAACAGGGCUGCCAAGUGAGAAGAAAAGGCUUAGGCAGAAAAUACCACGCUUUCGAGAACAGUGUGUGUGUGUGUGUGUGUGUGUGUGUGUGUGUGUGUGUGUGAGAGAUUGGGCUUUCAACAACUGUUUGAGUGAUUGGCAAAUAAAGUGCAUU